AUCAGCUCUGGGGUAAAGAAUACAGA
This 26-nucleotide non-coding RNA is filed under the name Cricetulus griseus (Chinese hamster). The record is from RNAcentral. Lineage: Eukaryota; Metazoa; Chordata; Mammalia; Rodentia; Cricetidae.